GACGAACGCUGGCGGCGUGCUUAACACAUGCAAGUCGAACGAAGUGGCGAACGGGUGAGUAACGCGUAAUCAACCUGCACCUCAGAGGGGGACACCAGUUGGAAACGACUGCUAAUACCGCAUACUGAAGGAGGGGAUUGCGUCUGAUUAGCUAGCUGGCGGGGGAACGGCCCAACAAGGGGAUGAUCAGUAGCCGGUCUGAGAGGCUGAACGGCCACAUUGGGACUGAUGCACGGCCCAGAAUCCUACAGUAGGCAGCAGUUGGAAAUCUUCCGAAAUGGACGAAAGUCUGACGGAGCAACUCCGCGUGAGUGAGGACGGCCUUCGGGUUGUAAAGCUCUGUUAAUCGGGACGCGGUACCGGAAUAGAAAGCCACGGCUAACUACGUGCCAGCAGCCGCGGUAAUAC
RNAcentral lists this ribosomal RNA (408 nucleotides) under uncultured bacterium. RNAcentral describes it as "partial 16S ribosomal RNA". It matches the Rfam family "Bacterial small subunit ribosomal RNA", at positions 28 to 526 of the family's 1533-position model. The record is from RNAcentral.